RNAcentral lists this long non-coding RNA (355 nucleotides) under Phoenix dactylifera (date palm). Its description in RNAcentral is "long non-coding RNA (PDAC_LNC005092)". Lineage: Eukaryota; Viridiplantae; Streptophyta; Magnoliopsida; Arecales; Arecaceae. The record is from RNAcentral.
UUGAGAAGGUGAUGGUGCAUAAGUAGGAUGUGCAGGUGGAGGAGCUGAAUGGUGUGACUGUUGAGGAUGAUCGUUUCUCCACCUAAAAUUUGGAUGAUUCUUCCAACCAGGGUUAUAGGUAUUCGAGUAUGGAUCGUUAAAAGGCUUUUGGUAGGAGUUCAUAGCAUUUGCUUGAUCGUGCAAGACUUCUUUGAAUGCCGGUAUGGUGGGACAAUCUGUAGUAGUAUGACCCGACAUAUCGCAGAUACCACAGCACUCGUUUCUAAGCUCUAUAGUCUUGACAGGCUCAACCUUCCUAAGCUCAAUUUCUUCUACCUUCCUAGUGAGGGCUGUCAUUUUAGCAUGAAGAUCAUCC